Molecule: long non-coding RNA, 2776 nt
Filed under: Heterocephalus glaber (naked mole-rat)
Lineage: Eukaryota; Metazoa; Chordata; Mammalia; Rodentia; Bathyergidae
Description: lncRNA (ENSHGLG00100033027.1)
Source: RNAcentral
AUAGGAGUCCUUUGGGGACAGAAACUGAAUUCCGCUUGUUAUUAACCUCUCCCCUUCCCUGGGCUGUGCCUUUCACCCGAACUCUGGUCCCGCCUUUCUCUGACACUCAGUUCAUUGGUUAUAUAUUUCCUAACGUUUGGCCUUUUAUCUCUCUCCUUCUCUGAGUGCCUUUUUCACAAGUGAAUUCUUUGGUUCAACAAGUCUCCAUGAAACACAUGCUUGGCAUAAUGCUGGGCCCCAGCAAACCUGAGGUUAUCCUUGUGUUAUCCUCACUCUAUCAAUGAAGGGACAGAAGAUCACCGACUCCUGAGAGCUCCCCGUUACCAAUACCGUCUGCACUGACUAGUGAAGAGAUUUUCAGCUUCAAGCAGCCACAAAGCCUCCCAAGCUGGAUUCAGGAAUUGAGAGAAUGAUUGGUUUGUACAAAUGAAAGAAGCAGGAUGAACCUCGGGUUUCACCCGAGUUGAGUCUGCUCUCAGAACAGGGAUGCCCACUGCCCUGUCCAGUACCAAAUGCUUCUGAGUGAAAGAAAGGAGCCUCUUCUCUGCCAGUGGAGGGAAGUUCUGGGCUGUCCCUCUGGCGCUGUGGCCUCUCGAUCCCCAGCCAGACACUGCUGCAGGAGAAUGGUGCGUCUGCGCGUGUGGCGGGAUAGGACCCUUAGACCUCCGACCUGAACACCACGCGCUCAGCCCAGGUUUUGGUGUGAGCUGUAUUUGGUCAACUGAGAAGUUAAAUUUUGCUGUGUGCCUGGAACCUGCAAUUCUGCAUCUGUUUGAAGGCUCAUUUUCCGUGUGAUCCACCAGCAUAAGAAGGUCAUCACAAAAUUUGCGAUGCAUCAUCAGUGGUUCCAGGGAGCCACUCCACCGUGCGGAGGGGCCAGGGUGGAGAUGUCAGGGGUUCCUCUUGCUGGACCAUGAGUGACGGAGAACAGCCCGUAUCGUUGCUCCUCAAGGGUGGGGAAGCAGUAAAACAUCAGGGAUAGGCCUGCAGGUGACAACAAAGGACAGGUCAGAGUUUACACGGUCGCUGACACAUGUAAGUAUGGGCGCUUCUUGGGUUACAGUGGAGCUACGUCCUGAUGAGUACCAAGAGCUGACAGUGUCACAGUUGCCAUGCACUGGACUCGUCUGUCUGCCAAACACCACAGCCCGUCCUGAGCUUCUCAGGUCUGCUCUGGGCACUCACCUUCGCUUGCCUUUGGGUAAAACCAUCUAACACAGGGCCUAUCUUACAAUAAAGCGUGGAUUGACCAUGAAAUUUACCCACUGCUGUUCUGAAAGUAAAAGGCAGAAUGGUGUGUGGAUGUGCUGUGGUACUAUUCUAAAGCCAAAAACUCAAAAACCAACUACUAUAAGUUGAAAACUUUCAGCACUGGCUCUCAGCAGCCUCGGACAUUACGAUAAUGUGAACGUGAUGCUCAUAGAAGUUCAUCCCGCUUAUUUUGCCUGAUUCACAGCUUCUCAUUGCACCUUGACUUAAAAAAAUCUGAUCUUUCCUUUAACACCAGUCAAAUAGAGUGAUGGAUCUUCAAGGGCACUGACUGUCCUGCACCAGACUUGUGAGCAGCUCCCCUCAGCCUGUCCCACUGAAAUUGAGGGCUGUGGGGUUGGAACAUGUGUGGUGCCCGUCAUUUCAUUGUUCAAACCUUGAGAAGUGGAAAUUUCUUUGCAGGUGUUCCAAUAAUUACUUCCAUAUGUCACAUUCACUGCUUCCAAAAGCAGGCCAGGCCUUCUCUAACCACGUAAGCAGCUCUCUGGGGAGACCAGCACUCGGUCCCCAACUUGACAUUUGCCACUGAGAGCGGCAAAUCAUGUGAUAGACUGUCCACCGCGAGACAGGAUGUGAGGCCCCCGGAAAUGCAGCUUCUUGCUGAACACUGUCCUGCAUGAUCGGAACCCCAUGCACUUCCUCGCUCCACUCGAAAGCCAUGACACUGUCGAUCACAAUGGCAGAAGUAAUUGGCAUCGAUUCAGAUGCAGACCUGGCCACAGAUGUGCAACCCACUGCACGUUUGAUUGUUUUUUUCUCUUUGCCAGUAUAAGUGAACUCUGUAAAGAUGUGAUUAAUGCCCUGUAUGUUGUUAAAUCCUCUGCAUAAAAACAGCUUGUAGCACAAAACAAAUGUUCAGUAAAUGAUAAAUACUCAAUGAAUAAAUGAAUGGACGUCAUCUGACUUCCCAUAGUACACAUGAGGGGCUUCCAGGUGGACGCGCCUCGAGGGGUGGAAACCUCCGGUCUGGGGAAGUGGUUUCCGCCCAGUUCUGCUCACUGGCCAGGCAUGGUCCCCACCUGCUCACCAGUCUCCUUGUUACCCGAUAUUCCUUAGCAUUGGGCUCUUCAGGAGGAGAUGUGAGCAGAAAGGUCAGAACAAAUGCGCAGUGAAUAAAAAUGGAGGGGAGAAUAUUAUAGGACUAAAUCCUCAAAAAGUGGUAGGUAUCAGCUGUUUGAGAGGGGGAAAGAAAUCUUAACUUCAAGUUUGGAUAUAACCAGGAACAAAAGGCGGUAGGUACUACGUGGGAUUUCCUUCACUGCUUCCGAGACCCUUCCCUAUCUUUUGUCUUAUUUGCAUGAAGACAGAAAUAAUCCACCUGUAAAAUAGAGAAGGGGUUGUUUUACAGGAAACAGGAAGAAGAAAGGCAACUCAGCUGAAGAAAAGAAACAAGGAAGAGGCACAGGAGCUGGGAGAGGGUCCUGGUCCCGGGGAACUUUCGUGGGCUUCAUAAGCCUCGGUUUCUUCAUCUGCGACUACAAGGCAACAUUCUCUUGCAAAUCUUCAC